RNAcentral lists this ribosomal RNA (1433 nucleotides) under Ectopseudomonas mendocina. Its description in RNAcentral is "Pseudomonas mendocina partial 16S ribosomal RNA". The record is from RNAcentral. Lineage: Bacteria; Pseudomonadati; Pseudomonadota; Gammaproteobacteria; Pseudomonadales; Pseudomonadaceae.
CCGGAUUGUGUACGUUCAGCUCGCCUACUCACCUCGAACGAGGUACUAAGUCGCCGCCUGCCCACUCAUUACGGAUCCUUAGACGGACCAUCACCCCCUGUUGCAAAGCUUUCCUUGCGAUUAUGGCGUAUGCAGGAUGCCCUCUUUCACCCCCUAGAAGCCUGGAGUGCGAUAGUCUACUCGGAUCCAGCCUAAUCGAUCAACCGCUCCAUUUCCGAGUGGUUCCGCUGCUAGGCAUUGACCAGACUCUCCUACUAGUCAGUGUGACCAUUGACUCUGUGCCAGGUCUGAGGAUGCCCUCCGUCGUCACCCCUUAUAACCUGUUACCCGCUUUCGGACUAGGUCGGUACGGCGCACACACUUCUUCCAGAAGCCUAACAUUUCGUGAAAUUCAACCCUCCUUCCCGUCAUUCAAUUAUGGGAACCGACAGAACAUGCAAAUGGGCUGACUUAUUCGUGGCCGAUUGAAAGCACGGGUCGUCGGCGCCAUUAUGCUUCCCACGUUCGCAAUUAGCCUUAAUGACCCGCAUUUCGCGCGCAUCCACCAAGCAAUUCAACCUACACUUUCGGGGCCCGAGUUGGACCCUUGACGUAGGUUUUGACCGCUCGAUCUCAUACCGUCUCCCACCACCUUAAAGGACACAUCGCCACUUUACGCAUCUAUAUCCUUCCUUGUGGUCACCGCUUCCGCUGGUGGACCCGAUUAUGACUGUGACUCCACGCUUUCGCACCCCUCGUUUGUCCUAAUCUAUGGGACCAUCAGGUGCGGCAUUUGCUACAGCUGAUCGGCAACCCUAGGAACUCUAGAAUCACCGCGUCGAUUGCGUAAUUCAGCUGGCGGACCCCUCAUGCCGGCGUUCCAAUUUUGAGUUUACUUAACUGCCCCCGGGCGUGUUCGCCACCUCGUACACCAAAUUAAGCUUCGUUGCGCUUCUUGGAAUGGUCCGGAACUGUACGACUCUUGGACGGUCUCUACCGCCCCACGGAAGCCCUUGAGUCUGUGUCCACGACGUACCGACAGCAGUCGAGCACAGCACUCUACAACCCAAUUCAGGGCAUUGCUCGCGUUGGGAACAGGAAUCAAUGGUCGUGCAAUACCACCCGUGAGAUUCCUCUGACGGCCACUGUUUGGCCUCCUUCCACCCCUACUGCAGUUCAGUAGUACCGGGAAUGCCGGACCCGAUGUGUGCACGAUGUUACCAGCCAUGUUUCCCAACGGUUCGGCGCUCCACCUCGAUUAGGGUAUUUUGGCUAGCAUCAGGCCUAGCGUCAGACGUUGAGCUGACGCACUUCAGCCUUAGCGAUCAUUAGCACUUAGUCUUACAGUGCCACUUAUGCAAGGGCCCGGAACAUGUGUGGCGGGCAGUGUGGUACCCUCACCCAACGAGGUCUUCAUCGAUCAGAUUGGAAGCCCCCCUGCCAAUGGUGCCUCA